AAUACAACAACAACAACAACAACAAACCCAGUGUAUUCCCACUUAGUGGGGUCUGGGGGGGUAAGAUGUACGCAGUCCAUACCUCUACCUCUGAUGAAGUAGAAAGGCUGUUUCCGAAAGACCCCCGGCUCAAGUCACGAGAUAUCACACAAACACAUAGUACAGCACAGAAGCAGAUGACAUAACAUAGAUACGGCACCCAUAAGGAAUAUAAAACAGAGUAAAGAAGGAAUGCAAGAAUAUAAAGCAGAGGAAAGCACCCAGAUUCGUAAUAAACAUGGAACACGGAACACGAAACACUGAAUACAGAAUCAUAACAGGAAUACACCCCCACCAAUUAAUUCCCUACACUAGCGACCCGAACUGGCCCUAAUCCUCUGCCGUAAUUCGCAUCUUCCAGACCUUCCUAUCGAGGUUCAUGUCCUCGGUGAGCUGUAACUGUUCCAUGUCCCGCCUAAUCACCUCACCCCAGUACUUCUUCGGUCUACCCCUACCCCAUCUAAAACCAUCCAACGCUAGCCUCUCACACCUACGGACCGGGGCAUCCAUGCCCCUCCUCUUCACGUGUCCGAACCAUCUCAAUCGUGCUUCCCGCAUCUUACACUCCACUGAAGUCACACCAACCUUCUCCCGGAUAGUCUCAUUCCGAACUCUAUCCCCUCGAGUCAGUCCACACAUCCAGCGCAACAUCCGCAUUUCUGCCACCUUCAUUUUUUGGAUGUGGGAGUUCUUAACUGGCCAACACUCCGCUCCAUACAGCAAGGCCGGACGGACUACCACCCUAUAGAAUUUGCCUUUAAGCUUGGGCGGCACCUUCUUAUCACACAGCACCCCCGAUGCGAGUUUCCACUUCAUCCAUCCCGCCCCAAUACGGUGCGAGACAUCCUCGUCAAUCUCACCGUUACUCUGGAUCACGGACCCGAGAUACUUGAACUUAUCCCUCUUCCCUACCUCCUGUGCUUCUAGCCUCACUACUACCUCAUUCUCCCGCCUCACGUCAUUAAACUUACAUUCCACAUACUCUGUCUUGGUUCUGCUCACCCUGAACCCUUUAGACUCCAGAGUUUGCCUCCACAACUCUAAUUUGUCAUUCACACCCCCUCGAGUCUCAUCUAUCAGGACUACAUCGUCUGCAAAAAGCAUACACCACGGCACCUCCCCUUGGAUACGCCGCGUCAACACAUCCAUUACUAACGCAAACAAAAAGGGACUAAGAGUAGAUCCCUGAUGCAAUCCUGUCAGGACAGUGAAAUGCUCUGAGUCUCCUCCCGCCGUCCUCACCUGGGUUUUCGCUCCCUCAUACAUAUCCUUAAUUACUCUGAUAUAUGCCUGCGGUACUCCACUCACCUCCAAGCAUCUCCAAAGCACUUCCCUGGGGACUUUGUCGUACGCCUUUUCCAGGUCGAUGAACACCAUGUGCAGAUCCUUCUUCCUCUCCCUAUACUGCUCCACCAACCUCCGUACCAGGUGGAUUGCCUCCGUCGUCGAGCGGCCGGGCAUAAAUCCGAACUGGUUUUCCGAAAUAGACACUAUCCGUCUCAGCCUCACCUCGACCACUCUCUCCCAUAUCUUCAUAGAGUGACUCAGUAACUUAAUCCCCCUAUAGUUAUUGCAACACUGAAUGUCCCCCUUAUUCUUAUAGAGGGGGAUCAUGGUACUCCACCUCCACGCCUCGGGCAUCUUUGCCGUCCUGAAAAUUUCAUUGAACAAUGCAGUCAACCACCUUACACCAGCCUCUCCAACGAACUUCCAAAACUCCACCGGUAUCUCAUCCGGCCCCGUCGCCCUACCCCUUCGCAUCCUGCGGACUGCCUGUCUAACCUCGUCUACCUUAAAACGUCUACAAUAGCUAAAAUCCCGACACUCCCCUGAGUGCUCCAGUUCCCCUAACACAAUAGCUCUGUCCCCCUCGUCAUUCAAGAGCCUAUGAAAGUACGACUGCCAUCUCUUCUUUAUGUGGCCGUCCUCCACCAACACUCUACCGUCCUCCCCCUUAAUGCACCUCACCUGAUCGAGGUCACGACCCUUCCUCUCCCUAGCCUUAGCGAGUCGGAACAACUUUUUCUCCCCUCCUUUCCUCUGUAACCCUGCAUACAAGCUCUCAAAAGCGGCCGUCUUAGCUGCCGUGACCGCUGACUUCGCCUCCUUCCUCGCUAGCUUGUACUCUUUCCUGUUUACCCGCUUAUCGAUUGCUACACUUGUUAUGCACAUUUGUUAUUCUGCUUUCCCUUCGCUCGUACUUCUUUGGUUUUUUGAGCCGAGGGUCUAUCAGAAACAGCUUCUCUACUCCGGAAAGGUAAUGGUAAGGUCUGUGUACAUCCUACACUCCUCAAAACCCACGUCUGGGAUUACCCUAGGCAUGUUGUUGUGUUAUUACUGAAGUUCGAGGACACUAUAGCUCUCAUUGAAAGCUUUAGAGGCAGAUAAUUAAUUAAGAUAGUCUCACAGAGAGAUUAGACAACUGGAAAGACAGCAUAAGUAUAACCAAGAGUUGAAUUUCCUGGCACCUACCCUUGCAUACCAUUCAUGCUUGAUGAAGUGAUACUCGGUCCUGAGGAAUGCAAACUGAAUUGUCCGAAGGACUCCGCUGCUACAGAGAAAAACAUAAAGAGCAUUAAAAGAUUGACUAAAUAAAAACAAGUGAUCAUUCAAAACUCUAGUUAUCUACGGGAGAAACAUAACAAGGUUUGCGAUAUUUCGAGGUCUGAUAGACCAUUUAUAUGUUAAAUAUAGCACUUAACACAAUGAUCAAGCAUUAGAAUACAAAGGUAAGAAAGGAGCUUUUUGUCCACUUUGCUUUCGGAUAAGCUUCAACUGAGUUUACAAAAUCAUCCAGAACUUACCAAUAUUCUCUCUGUUUUGUUCUGCUGCAUUUUGUUUCUUUGCCUGCUGUCCAAGUCUAUACUUCUGCAGCACAAAAAAGGGAACAAAACCGCCUAAUGAGUUUUCGACUGGGGAAAAAACGUUGAUGAUUAGAGAUGCAGAAGCGUGACUCUACCUGCAAAUGACUCUUGAGAUGAUAGAGUGUCAAGCCCUUCAAUCCCAUUAACCUUAGUACUGACUUGGGAGUUGCUUCUGCAGAUUCAAGGCCUCUUAUCAAACAUUGCAGACUCUAAAAUAGAAACCACAAAUCCACCACAUUGUUUAAUACAUUAACACAAGCGAGAAAGUAAACCACAAAUCCCCGUCCCUGUGAAACUUAAGGGAAGAACGUAAUCUAGCAUCCGCUCUUAUCUUAAUUGUACGUAGAUAUCCAACUACUAAUUCUAUGAUCCAUUGAAGACAGACAAAGCCAGUCAUAGUUAGUUUAUACAUCACGAGGGAUCAUUUAAGAUGUAACAUACUUGGAAUAAAUUACACAAGGAGGUAACAGAGGACCUAAUCAGCCAUGACACUAUAACGAUCAACUUAUUUAAAAUACAUGACCACAUCGAUAUUGAUUAUAGAGGUUAAUAAAAAUGGAAGCUAUUUAUGGAAAAAGUUUGGAAAGUUUGCAGAACAAUAUAAGUACACCCACUUCAUUAGGACAUUGGCAGCUCACACAAGACUUUGGUUUCAAAUUAUGAUACAAUUUUGGGGCACCUUUCUACUUUUUUCCUCCAUCUUUUUUUACUUAAAAGGAAAUAAAUAGCUUCAAAAGGCAAGCAGCCAAUUUAUCUCCAAGUAAGCUUGAUCAAUCAACCAACAAAAGUAUCAAAAAAGAAGUAAGAAUCCCCAAGAAAUGGAAGGACAUAUGCAUGAUAAAUCAAUAUAUGCCAAAUAAAACUUAUAAUGACACUAACACAAUGUAAAAGUCUAUCACCCAUUUGGCCAUUUAUCCACUUUAUAUUAGUAAUAAUCACAAAAUUUAGAAGCAACAACAACAAUUACUUUACAUUAAUCCUAAACCAGUUGGGGUCGGCAUAUGAAUCCUCAUUAUCCAAUUUUCUCUAUUACUUAUCUCAUCAGUGUUCUUUGGGCCAGUUUGUGUGUAACUUGACUAAUUCGACAGGUAGAUAACUCAGUCCAGUUACAACUAGGCCACAUCAUUGGUUAGCUAUUACUGAUAUCACUAUACUCCCUCACUUGACACAGAGUUUAAGAAAAAGUCUACUUUAAAACCUAUGGUCUUUAAACAUCCUCCUGAACCAAAAAAAAAAAAAAGAAGGUAAAAAGUCAUUCUUUUUAAAUGGAAUUAUAAGUAAAGCAAGACAAACAAAGUGAAUAUAAGAAACAGAAAACAAAAUGUAAGAAAAAGAGGAACUGACUAUCAGGUCCACCAAGCUUAGUGACAGCAUCAACAAAACGAUCAUGUAAAUCAGCAGUCCACCUUAAUCUUGGCUUUGGGUCCCUUGUCAUCACCACUCCAUUUUCAUAACCAUCUCCACCACCAUUAUACAUCCUAUCCAUCACACCUCCAAAUUCCUCAAAACUCCUCCAAUAAUCACAACAAAACUCUAUCUUUAAACACCCCAAAGGCUUCAAAAAUGUAUAGAAAAAAGAACCAAGAAAGUUUAUCAAGUAGAAAAAUGACUAGUUUCAAGAAUUCCCAAGUGGAAAAGGAAGCAAAUGAUCAACAAAAAUUGAAUCUUUUUUUUAUUUUUUAUUUUUUAUUUUUUUUGGUGAUAAAGAGUCGAAUGGACUUCAAUAGAGGUAAAUUUUUGCUUUCAUAAUAAUCCGUACAUGCAGAGGUGAUUAAAAAAAAUAAUACAGGGGAAAAGGGAAUCAAUUUUGAUAAAAUAAAAAGAACACGGAGAGGAAAGAUCGGCGUGGAAUCUGAAGAAACAUAUGAUAUGACCGCCGAAAAUUUAUUCUUUCUUAUAAUAAGUUGAUUUUUAAUUUAUUUGUCAUAUUUUAAUUUAGAUAUUGAGUUUAAUAAAGUACUCCUUUUAUUCCUUUUUACUGUUACAUUUGAAAAAUUAUUUGUACAAUAAGUAAUUGAUGGUAAGAAUAUAAUAUGAAAAAAAUAAUUAUUUUUUUAGUACAUUAAAAAUAAUGAAUAAAUUUAAGGAUCUAUCUUUAUGACAAAGAAUAAAUAAAAAUAAAUAGAGAGGUAUUGAUUUUUCCAAUUUAAACUUGCGAUGAGUUUACCAAAGUGAAGAUAAUUUUGAAUUUUCUCGUGCUAUAUAUGUUACUUAAAAAUUUAAAAUUAAAGAAUUAAUGAGAAAGAAACGCUGCAUUUUUUUUGAAAUGGAUAAGAAAAGUAUGACACAGAGUGUUUGAAAUUAAAGAGUAAUAGAAUUAUUGUUGCGGAAUUAAAAGAUUAGAAGCUCGAGCCAUUUUGUAUUUUGUAUUAUAAAAAUAUCAAGUAUUUUGUAUUAUAAAAAUAUCAAGUAAAGUUGCCUAUAAUACAUCUUUGCGGCCAACGCAUAACAAUAAAUUAAUACUCUCUUCAUCCAAUAAUGUUUGUUCAAUUUAAAAAUUAAUGCAUACUUAAUAUUUUGCUACCAAUAUUCCUCUUGCUAAACACUCCAUUCGUUCCAUUUAUGUGAAUAAUUUUUUUUUAAUUCGUCUCAAAAAGAAUGUCAUUUUAUUAUAGCUAUUCCCUCCGUUUCGUUUUAGUUGAUCCUUUUUCUAAAGAAAAUUUAUUUCAAUUUACUUAUUCAAGUUAUAAAAUCAAGACUAUUUUACAUAUAUUCUUCUUAUUCUAUCCUUGAUAGUAUUAAAUAUAACCACACUUUCUAAAAUUUUUUAAAAUAACAUUUUUAUAUUUUCAAUACUACCUUUAUGAGACUUUACUUUUUUUCUUCUUUUCAAGAGUACUAUUACUAUUCCUAUAAGAAGAUAUCAUACGCACACCACUUCUUUUCAAUACUACUACUAUUCCUAUAAGUGUAUUAUUCCUUUUGUACUUUUCAGUUUUCACUUAUUCCAUAUAGUAUAAUUCAAAAAAGGAGUAUUUUUUUAAAUAUUUUUUAAUCAAAUUUUCUAUUUUGAUUAGUACGAGUAUAUUUGAAAUAUGGAGAUUGAUAUGCAAAACACAUCUAUUGUUCAUUUACGAAAGUUGAAGAUUCGACGAAGAUUAUAGUUGAUGAUUCAAUAAAAAAGAUUGAGAAUUUUAAUUUGAACGUCAAAGAUUGUGGGUUCGACUUAAAUAAAUUUUCGGUAGAAAGAGAGGAAGGAUUUGAAGACGCAAAAUUAGAAAAGACGUAUGCAAAAUCUUACAAUGUCAAAGACUGUGGGUUUGACUUAAUGAUGCAUUUUUUUUUAAAUACCUCGUACCUUAAAAGCAUGGAAGGCUAUAUCUCCACCGUAUGGCAAGGGGUUAAAACACCACAAAUUUUAGCUCAUGAUGAGGGGUAUUUUAUAUUCUGAUUUGAAUCCCAAGAGGACUGUGAUAGUAGCUUAGAUGGAGGAUCGUAUACCUUCCAUAACAAGCCGUUUAUUAUACGAGAAUGGAAACUGAAUUUUGAGUUUCAACCAAAUUGUCUCACCACGAUCUCAUUAUGGAUAACAUUGCCUGGGUUACCUGUGGGUUACUGGUCCACAGAAGCUUUGAGCAAAAUUAUGAGUGUUGUAGGGAGGCCUCUAUACACGGACGGGAUCACAGCGGGGAUGCAAAGAAUCUCUUAUGCGAGAAUCUUGGUAGAGGUUGAUGUCUCACAGCCUCUUGUUGAAAUGGUAACCCUGAAUACACCUGGGGUGAAUUUCAACAACGGGUUGACUAUGAAUGAAAACCCCGAUAUUGCUACUAUUGUAUGAAAUUUAGGCAUGUCGAGGAACAUUGUUGGAUUAAAGAAGAACAAGAGCCAAAGGAGCAACAGAUCCCAGAUAGACCUCGAAGAAGAAGAAGAAGAAGAAAUCAUAGACCGAGACCAUGCCAAGAUGGCUGCCUAAAGAUUUAGAUGAGGAAAGGAUAGAAAAACUCCCGCAGCAUAAAGGUCAGUCUUUUAUACAAGAGAAGACUAGGAAUUCACGAAAUGGACACAUAAGAAGCAAAAAUCAGCAAGCAAAAACAACACAAAAGAAAAGGGAUGAAGAAGAAGAUUGCAUAAACGUAAAGAUAGAUAGAAAGACCCUUACUUCUACCAAGUGAUUAACAAAAGAUGGUGUAUCAAACCAUCAAUCAAACCUCACCAAUAAAAGCUCAAACCUUCCUCUUAGGCGGACCAAAGGAAUUCACACUUCUCAAAACCCACCUUUCUUGCCAAUUUGUCAACACAAGUGAAAUCCAUCAAAUGUGCUAACCCUAAUUCAGUUUCUCUCUCUUAAGGAUAAGGAGAAUACUACAAGCUAACACUAAUAUUACAAUCUGAAAAUUCACUCAAUUCAUUAUGUCAAAACUUAGGAAAAAUAAGAGCUAAGGUGUCUAUUUAUACUUAUUACAAACAAGGACAAAAAUACCCUUAAUGAAGGAUGCUUCUUUGGAGUGUAAAAAGGGAGUCUUAAAAGACAACAAUAGCCCUAAAAUGGGGCGCCUCUUGAGUGUCAAAUCAUAGUGUGCAAAGUCCAUUUUGUCCUUCAAGUGAGGCGCAUCUCGAGUGUAAUGAUUCCCUUCUCCUCCUUCCACUUGAUAAGGCUUUAAAAUGCUUCAAACACUUGCCAAUUCUGAAGUUUGAACCUUUGAAAAUGCCUUGUACAAUUUUGUGCACCUCAUGCUUGUAUCAUCCUCUCCAUCUUAGUGGAAUUUGUCCUCAAAUUCUGAUCCUAUAAAAUCAAAGAGAGAAGAAAAUAAGCACACAAUCCUCUUGGUAGGAGGGUUAGAAUUAGUGCCAAAUUAUAUGAACACACCAAGGGGGCACACUCUUAGAAUAUAGCCAACAAUCCUUUGUAAUAAUCAUGAAACACUUACUAUAAGCAACACAAAGGACAUGAAUAAGAUAUGCAUCCAAGAGAGGAAAGUGCAACCCAAAAUCAUCACAUAUUUCAACACUCCAAGGUUGUUCACAUUUGAAAUACAACCACGGGUCCUUUGUGUGUGAAAUGAAAAGCUUAGCAUGAAUGACAUAAAGGAGGUGGUUUUGGAAAAUAUCAAAAGAUAAGGAAACUACAAUGGUCUUAACGAUUUUACUAUACCCAAAAGGUAAGACUACCUUUGGCUUAGGAACCAUAAGAUAUAUUUGUUUCAUUACCUCUACAAAGGACCUCAUCAAAUAUGGUUCCACUAUUAAUCCUAAGGUCCACCUCACCCACACAUCACUAUCAUUCAAAUAAGGAAACCAACCACCAAAUUUCCUACCUCUACACAAUACAAAUUCAGAAUUAACAUGUUUAUCAUCAUAGCUAAAGAGGUAGUAUAAAAAGGAAUCAAGUGUGAAGACAUCAUGCCGAGGGGGUACACUUUUAAAAUACAACCAACAAUCCUUUGUUCUAACCAUGAACCAUCUAGCAUGAGCAUUACAAAGGAUAGGUAUAAGACAAACAUCAAAGGAAAAUAAACACAAGCCGAAACAAUUCUUUUUUCCUCCCCACUAGUACACCGGGAUCAAAUGGGUGAAGUGGCCAAGGUACUAAACCGAAGCUACUCAUUCCAUCUACUAGGGUAUCACACUCACCCAAAGCAUUUGUUCUUAAGGGAAGACUACCACACAAAGAUAAAGACCUACGGCUUAGUAGGCUUCCCUUAACAACAUACACCUCAUCAUCCACAAUCUCUCCAUACACAUGAUCACCAAGAAUACAAUUAAUAGCAAGGUUCUCACCACAUAAGAAGUUCAAGGGACCAUAUUCAUUAUCAAGAUCAACACUAUAUACAUUAACACUAACUUGAAGCUCAUCAAGCACAUCAUACAUAAACUCAAGUAGUGGGCUAUAUUCGUGAGUAAAUUGAUCAUCAUUCACAUCCUCACUGGUUGUUGGCAACUCACAUACCAACGUAAACUCACCUCAAUUUUCACAAGAGUCAACUAGUGUGUGAAUACUCUUGUCACUUAGUAAUGGAACCUUAUUCAAGUCAUGAGUGCUAGCACUAGAUGGACACAAAUCAUUCUUACGAAAAGAAUCAAUUUUGUCAUCUUUAGGAUCAACUAGUGCUUGCAAACUUACAUUAAGAAUUUGGUCUUCAUGCAAUCUAAUAAUACCAAGAGUAUUACAAAGGUAAGACUCAUGCGAUUCUCCUCCCAGCAAACCAUCAACUACAUCCAUUUGGCUACUACUAGCCACAUCAUGACAUUCUAAGUUUAUAAGAGUGUAGGAGAUAGCAUUGUUACCUUUUAGCUCACAUGAGGUAUGGCCUUUACCUAGGUUUGGAUCAUGGCAGCCCAUUUGUUCCUUUGGGAAGCUCUCAUUACAAGGGAGUUUGUCAAGAAUUUUUCCUUGCAUCACCUCUUUGUCAUUUUUUCCAAAGUUGGAAUUCUUAGCCAAGAGCUUCAUUUGAUCAACAGCUAUGUGUUCUUGAGGAACUCUCCUUGAAUUCUCCAGUGGAAGUAUAUUAUCUUGAACCUAUACACAAGGCUUGAUACUAGGCAAAAUGCUAGCAUCUUGGUUAGUAGUGAUUCGGCUUAGAUGACAUGUUUCAAUCAUCAAUUGGCGUAGACUUUCAAGGUGCCAAUAGAAAUUUUCAAAAGGAUCCGAGAUAGUAUAAAUACUAUAACUAUCCGGAGUGGAUGAUAUUGUUCCUUCCAUUGUCAAGGUACCUAAAAAGAGCAAAAAAAAACAUCAAAGGCCUAAAAAAUAAACAAAUAAGUUAGUUCAAAUAACCUCACACACUCAUACUCGGAUCUCACCUCACACUUGGUCUCACAAGUGUUGAAUACUUGGCAAUACUUGGUAAGUGAAUUGAGUGGUGAAUAUGCCUUGGUUCGAAAUUGAUUUUUGUUUGAUAAGACUCAAAUAAAAUGAUGCACGGACUUGAACCAACAAACUACUAUGACUUAAAAAUAAGAAAAGCACACAAAAAGCGAAGACACGAACAAAAUGAACUCAAGACUAAUUAUCAACCUAGUAGGUACUUACUAGUUUGCUAAUUAUUGUUAGAAUCAAGACAAAAGCAACUAGAAACAUCAAAUAGAAACUUAGAAAUCUAAUUUAGAACUCAAUUUGGUUGUUCAUAAAAUGAUGACAUGGCAACUUGUGGUUGACGUCACUUUUCAAAAUUUUCAAUUCCAAAUCUCUUGUUUCGGAGAAAUACUCCUUUGGGGAAGAAGAAUUUCAAUUUUAGGAGGGAAAAUGAAGGUUUGAAGCCUUUUUGGAGCUUCAAAUGAAUUCAAAAUGGAUUGGUCCCCUCAAGUGUACUUUCAAUUGUACUUGUUUGUCCCCUUGUCCCCUCUUUCUUUUUGGAAGACUUAGAAUAUGCUAGGGAAUAUUCUUGUACAAACACUUUGUACACUCUUUUUCUACUCCCUUUUUGGAUCAAACAAGCUACUUGAAUAUUCUUCUUCAAGAUUUAAAGAUGGUGGAUGAACAAGAUGACUAUUCAAGAGUUGACCAAGGUUUGACCACUAGGCAAAUGAACCCUAACUUUAAUUUUUCUUUUAGAUCUAGGUUUUCUUUGUCAAACCAAGCACAACCAACACAAAACCAGCCACAAAACACCAUACACAAUUUGAUCAAAAAAUGAGACCCCUCCUCAAAAGCUUCAAACAAGCCACAACAAUGGUGGAUCUAGCUCAAAAACAACCAAAUCUUGUUCUAAACUUAGAUCUAGACCCUUUAAGUGCUAAAGAACAAGAAUAUAACACUAGAAACUAUCAAAACAGACUAAAAAUUAGUAGAUCUAAGUUGUGAAAUUCGGAUCUACUACCAAACAACAAGACAACACAUAAUUUUAUUUUGAGUUUUUCAAAUUUUUGACUCUUUUUGUGGAUAUUUAUACUCUAGACUCUUUUUUUGUGAAGAUUUUAUUAGAUCCAAGACUUAGAGUUGUGGGAACAACUCUAAUACAUGUAUCUGAUACGAAAUGAUACAAGAUAAGACUAGGAAUUCACGAAAUGGAAACACAAGAUGCAAAAAUCAGCAAGCAAAAACAACACAAAAGAAAGGGGAUGAAGAAGAAGAUUACAUAAACGUAAAGAUAGAUAGAAAGACCCUUACUUAUACCAAGUGAUUAACAAAAGAUGGUGUAUCAAACCAUCAAUCACACCUCACCAAUAAAAGUUCAAACCUUUCUCUUAGAUGGACCAAGGGAAUUCACACUCCUCAAAACCCACCUUUCUUGCCAAUUUGUCAACACAAGUGAAAUCCAUUAAUUGUGCUAACCCUAAUUCGAUUUCUCUCUCUUAAGGAUAAGGAGAAUACUACAAGCUAACACUAAUAUUACAAUCUAAAAAUUCACUCAAUUUAUUAUGUCAAAACUUAGGAAAAAUAAGAGCUAAGGUGCCUAUUUAUACUUAUUACAAACAAGGAUAAAAAUACCCUUAAUGAAGGGUGCUCCUUUGGAGUGUAAAAAAGGAGUCUUAAAAGACAACAAUAGCCCUAAAAUGGGGUGCCUCUUGAGUGUUAAAUCAUAGUGUGCAAAGUUUAUUUUGUCCUUUAAGUGAGGCGCCUCUCGAGUGUAAUGGUUCCCUUCUUCUCCUUCCACUUGACAAGGCUUUAAAAUGCUCCAAACACUUGUCAAUUCUAAAGUUUGAACCUUUGACAAUGCCUUGUACAAUUUUGUGCACCUCAUGCUUGUAUCAGUCUUCCCAUAACGCACAAUCUGAAUUGAGUAAUCAAAAAGCUAGUGAUCACUCUGGGAAGUUUAAGACUAUGAACAUGAGAAUCAGUAGUGUGCCAACUGGCAAUCAAUUUGAAUCCCUCUGCGACCCAGUUAGCCAAAUUGACGAAGGUCAUGGGGGUGAUCAUGGGGGCAGUCACAACCCUCCAUUAUCAUUGCUAAAUGGAACAUGAGGGGCUUAAAUCAGCCCUUAAAGCAAAAAGAGGUGCGACGCUUUUUGCAAAAGUAUGGAGUAGAGGUUUUUGGUUGUCUUAAAACUAGAGUAAAGGAACAUAAAUACAAGGGUAUCUUACAAAAAAUUAUGCAAAGGUGGAACUAUAGUUGUAACUACCCUAUGGUUGCAAAUGGAAGAAUAUGGCUACUAUGGAAAGAAAAUAUUAAUUUACAGGUCAUUGAAAUCAGAGAACAAUUUGUGCACUGUCAUGUUAAGAACUCCACAGUCAACUUUGCAACAUUCCUAACAAUAGUUUAUCCUAGGAAUGAACCCCAACAGAGGGUACUAUUAUGGAAUGACCUGAAAAUGUUAGGCAGAGCUAUGCAGGGCGCUUGGUUACUAAGUGGUGACUUCAAUAAUGUGCUCUCUACAAAUGAUAGAAUUGGUUCACCAGUGAUACCUGGAGAAAUUCAAGCUUUUCAGGAAUGUAUUGAUGAUCUACAACUCACCUCUCUAAGGGGAAAAGGCUGGCAUUACACCUUCUGUAAUAGACAUGAAGGUAUUACCAGGGUUUACUAAAAAAUUAAUUGGCUUUUGGUAAUUUCCAGUGGUUGUAGAGAUACAACCAGGUGGAGGUAGAAUACUUAAACCAUGGAGUCUCAGAUCAUACCCCAAUUCUGAUUGAAUAUAGACAAGUUAAUAACAAUAACCCCAAGCCAUUCAAGUUGUUUAACACAGUGAUGAAACAUUCUGAUUUCCCUGGCCUGGUAAAAGAAACUUGGGCAAAAUCAUGUAAUGUCACCCAUAUGUAUAGAUUAUGGAGGAAGUUGAACUUGCUUAAGCUGAUAGUUAAGAACCUAAACUCCGAUCUAUCACCUUAUGAGAAACGACUGAAAACUGCCAGGGAAAAGCUGAAUAUAGUGCAAAGUCGGUUGCUUAGAAACUCUCAGGAUCAAACUUUGAUUGAGGAAGAGAAGCAAAUACAAAAGGAUGUGAUCAAAUGGAGCAGUGUUGAAGAGCAAGGUCUGAGGCAGAAAUCUAGAGCAAUAUGGAUAAAAUUUGGAGAUGCCAACACUAGAUACUUCCAUGCUCAUUACAAAUUAAGGAUUCAUAAGAAUGUUAUCUCAAUAAUGUACAAUGACCACGGCACCAAGCUUACUGAACCAGAUUUGAUUAAAAAGGAUUUUAUCUUUGUCUUUAUCAACCAGAUAGGUACAGCUGUAAAUGAACUCCCAUGCUCAGAUGCAGGCAUUAUUAGAAGAGGACCCUGAUUGACAUAUCAUCAUAAAUGCUCUCUGAUCAGACCUGUAUCGAUAGAGGAAAUUCAAAUUAUAUUGAAAGAGAUACCAGUUGAAAAAUCUCCUGAAAUUGAUGAAUUUCCUAUAGAUUUCUUCACUCAACAGUGGGAUGUGAUAAAUGAUGAUGUGAGGAAAGCUGUUGCUGAAUUCUUCUCCUCUGGUAAACUUCUUAAAACCUUCAGUUGUACAUCCCUUACAUUAGUCCCUAAAGUUAAAUCCCCUACUUAUGUCAAAGAUUAUAGACUCAUUGCUUGUUGUACCACCUUCUAUAAAAUAGUCACAAAGAUCCUCACUAACAGAAUCAAGAGAGUAAUUAAUACUAUAAUCAGCCCUUCACAAUCAGCAUUUAUAGAACGAAGAAGCAUUACUAAUAACAUAUUAUUUAGCCAUGAACUACUCAAAUGGUACACUAGAAAAGGGUUAUCCCCAAGGUGUGUAUGAAGGUAGAUUUAAGAAAGUCCCAUGACUCAAUAGAGUGGGAAUUUAUGGAAAACAUGCUUGCUUAUAUGGGGUUUCCUUUCAAGUUUAUUCAAUGGGUUAUGGAAUACAUCUCCUUUGUAUCUUAUUCGUUGGUCAUAAAUUGUGGGUUUACUAAACCUUUUCAAGGAAAAAAGGGUAUUAGGCAAGGUGAUUCAAUGUCACCCUACCUAUUUGUAAUUACAAUGGUGUAUCUACUAAGGGAAUUAAAUGUCAUAGCUAACCACCCCCAGUUUAAAUUUCAUCCUAAAUGCAAGAAGUUGGGUGUUAUGCAUAUAUGCUUUACAAAUGAUCUGUUGAUGUUUUGCAAAGCUGAUAUUCCCUCUGUAAAGCUAAUGAUAGAAGCCUUUACUAAGUUCUCAAAAGCAACAGGCCUGCAAGCCAACAUUGACAAAAGCUCUUUGUACAUGAGUAGGGUCAAAAACCAAAUGAAAUAGACAAUCUUAUAGGAACUAGGCUUUGUAGAAGGCUCCUUACCUUUCAGGUACCUGAGGGUACUAAUUUCUUCAAAAAAGCUGACAAUAGACCAGUGUAUGCCUCUUAUGGACAAGAUUGUUGAGAGAAUUACUUGCUGGACAGCUAAGCUUCUUACCUAUGCAGGGAGAUUAUAGCUUAUCAAGGCUGUAAUCUUUGGUCUCCAAACAUAUUGGGCACAAAUCUUUGUGUUCCCCAAGAGAAACUUAAAGCUUAUUGAAACAGCUUGUAGAACUUUUCUUUGGACAGGUUCAAUAGUGGUAUCAAAGAAGGCCCUAGUUUUUUGGGAGAAAAUACGUCAUCCAAGGGCAGCAGGAGGCCUAAAUGUCUUAAACAUGUACAGGUGGAACAAAGCUGUUGUGAUGAAGCAGCUUUGGGCACUAGCAACCAAGAAAGAUUGCUUAUGGGUUAAAUGGGUACACAUAUAUUAUAUGAAGCAUGAAACAAUUGAUAGCUGCCAGGUUCCUCAGAAUGCUACAUGGGUCAUCAGGAAGGUACUUGAAGCUAGGAAAAUCCUCAACACUUUGAGUACCCUAAAUGGUGGUGUUGUUACUAGAUUGCAAACAAUGGUAAGCAGAGAUAGAUUCCUGGUCAAAAAUAUGUACAAUACACUAACACCUACAUUUCCUAAAGCAAGCUGGAAGAGUUUGACAGAGCAGCCGGCUAUACAUCCUCAACAUAAAUUCUUUUUAUGGCUAGCAUUGCAGAAGAAACUUCCCACAGUUGAGAGGUUAUUGAAGAUUGGUGUGGUAGUUUCUCCUACUUGUGUAUUCUGUAAGUCUACUGAUGAGACUAAAGAACAUUUGUUCUUUAAGUGUAGCAUCACCUAUCAGCUCUGGCAUAGAAUUCUAAGAUGGAUAGGGGAGCACAGAACAAUUGGACAAUGGCAAACUAAAAUGAAAUGGGUUACUAGCUGGUAAAGAAGAAAAAUGACAAUGGAGGUAUAAUAAGUUGUCUAUUUGCUAUGGUAAUUCAUGUGAUAUGAAGGAAAGGUAAUAUAAUGAGAUUCCACCAAGGACAAUAUGACCUGGAUAGAGUGUGCAAAGAAAUUGUGGCAUUCAUCCAUACUAGAGGUUGUGACAUCAAGCAAUGGAAACCGAUUUUGCAGCAACUGAACAUGCCUCCAUGAGGAUUUGCAGCACCUGGACAUUCACUAGAAUUACUGUAGGAGCAUUUUGUAAUUAAUUUCCUUAAUGUAAGUGAAUUUCUUAGUAUCAGUAGAUCUAGUGUAGUGAAAUGAUUGUAUGAGAGUUAGGAGGUCUGCUCCUAGCUGGCAACAUGUACGAACACUUUGGUAUUAAAUAAAACCUGUUUAGUUACCCAAAAAAAAAAAAUUAAUGAUUUAUAGAUUCUAGACAUAUGCAUUCAUGGUUGGAAUAAUUGCACUAACUUUCCAUGCUUACUUUAUUAUUGAAUCUUACAAUGUCAAGAAGGGUAAAAAGGUAAAAUACACAUCUAAUUAUUAGGUUUCUUAAUGGGUGUGUCAAGGUUGAAAGGGUCAUCUAAUUCGAAACAGAGGGAGUAGAAAAGGAUUUACUCCUUCGUUCAUCUUUACUUGUCCACUUUUCUAUUUUGAUAGGUCCAACAAUACUUGUCUAGUUUAUAAAUCAAUAAAUAAUUUACUUACUUUUACUCAUUUAUACUUUAUAUUAUAUACUCCCUCCAUCCUAAAUUACUCAUUCCAAAUUUCUAAUUUGAUUUUCAUUUUACUUGUCCUUUUUCAUCAAGAAGAGACAAAAAAAAAAAAUUCAUGUUUUACCCUUUGCAUUAAUUACUUUUUCUUCAAAUUAAAACGUAAACAUCAUUUAAUAGGGGCACUAUGGUAAACUAGUCAUAUUAUUAAUUAUUUUUUUAAUCAAUGUAUCAUCUCAAUUUGGGACUGAUAAUUUGAGACGGAGCGAGUACAAUACAUCACUUAUUGUAUUUUUCAAGGCAAGAAAUUUUUUAUAUUCAAAGAGUGACAUAGUAAAAUCACCCAUCUAUUUAUUAUUUUUUAAGAUAUGUGUCAAAUUAAAAGUAGAUAUGUAUUUACGGACAGAUGGAGAACAUUAAAAAUUAUUUUUUACUCUUAAUAAAAUGUUAUAUAACUAAUAUACUUAUUCAAGGAUUACCUUAAAUUAUAAAUUUUACUUUUAUAUAUAUAUAUCAUGUCAAAUUAAAAUAUAUCACAUGAGAUGAAAAAAAUAUCAUUUAUCACAUAAUAUAUAUUAUAAGAUAUUAAAUUUAUUAUUGUUAAAAAAGGUGAUAUUGUUAUUAACACUGUGUGUGUGAAGAUAAUAAUGAACAAAGUAUUAUUAUCCACCAAACUGGCCUUUAAUAAAAUGUUGUCGGUGAUUGGGGAGAAGUGGGCCCGAGUAUUAACGCACGGAGAAGUGACACGUAGAUGACAGCGUGGAAUAUUCGCCGAAGAAUAAGGAAAACAGAAUAUUAUUCGUACAUUCACGUGCCACGUCCUCCCAAAUACUACUAACUCAAUUAGGUAAUAUAGGCCAUUUAAGACAAAAUAAAAAUAUUCUAGUUCUAGCUAAAUUAUGAAUAAGAGCAUUUUUUCUUUCUUUCUUUUUAAUUCUUUAGCUAUUAAUAAUUUUUGUGUGUGUGUUAUAUGAGUUAAUGUUUAAACAUUGAUUAAUUACAAAGAUAAUUUUGUAAUUAGCUUUUGAGAAAGGAAUAAUUAAAUGAAAUACUCAUUUUGGUGAUCUCUAGUCUAUUAGAUUUAGCCUAAUUAUUAGUUAAUUAGGUUUACCAUAACAUUUGGUGAUCUAAAUUAUCAAAUGUGGCCAAACUUUGGUAUUGAAAGUAUAAUGCCAUUUCUUAAAUAUCCAGUUUUAUUUUUAUUUUUUAGUAUAAUUUUAUAAGUAAAAUUCAAGGAUGAUAGAAUAUACGUAAAUUUUACUUUCCGAAAAUAAAGUAAUUAACUCGGUCUAUAAAACUAAAAUAAAAGAGGCCAGAAAGAAUGUGUGUUUGAAGAGUUAAUAAUAAGUUGUACUAACCAUAUGCAAAUGGGAACAUAAGUUUUACGUGGCGUAAAUUCAAAUUAAUCCUUGAAUACAAAUAUUUAGCACCAAAAAAGAUAGUGCAUGAUAGGUUCCCAAAAAUCCUCUCUUAACGGCACUCCUUGACAACAAUAGGAAAAUUGAAGAUCAUUAAUUUUCUACGUUAUUGUAAUUUCUUAAUUCAAUUUAUCCUUCCUUCGUUAUCAUAAAUACAUGAAAGCUAUAUCAAAUUAAAUAUUAGGAAAAGGUUUAAAUAUGUCAUAAAAAAUUUUAAAAAAAAAAACUCAUUUAUAUCAUUCAUUAAAAGUUGGGCUCACCUAUGCCCAAGCGAGAGAUGGCAGUCAAUACUCUAUUGUAUAUCAUAAACAGCAGUGGCGUUGGUGAACCCAACGUUUAACGGAAAACAAAAAUAAACUUUUUUCUAAAAAUGUUUAAUAGCAUAUUUGAGCAUUUUCCCUUAAAUAUUUAAAAGGAGAAAGAAGGCAGGUUUAUUCAACAACCAAUACUAUAUAGUACUAGUAUUUAAUUAACCAGUUCAUCUCUAAAUGUACCUACUCCACGUUAGAUUUCUCUACUACAUAAAAUUUAUCUCUGUCUAUCUUUUGGAUUUUUAUGAGUUCAAGGAUCAGAAACCAUCAUAAUCACAUACUAUUUUGAAUAAAUUUCAGCCAGCUUACCCAUGUUCUCUCAACAAAGUGAAUAAAAAAAGCUAAAUUGCAUAUACAUUACUAAUGUCAAACCUAGCUUGUUCGCAGCUCAACUAAUUUUACGAACAUUAGCUUUAGUGAAUGCUAAAUGCAUAUGCGGAACUUCUGAAAUGGGAAAGAAUGUGAGCAGUCUAUUAUCAUGAUUAAAAAAGAAUACCUCCUUUCCAAAUUAAGUGUCGUUUCACAUCCAAAAAAAAUUGUUAGUGUCACUUUAAAAAUUCAAGAGAAAAAUAGACUUCCUAUGUCUCAACUUAUAUGAUUCAUUUUGUUUUUUUAGUCGGUCCAAAAAAAAACAACACAUUUCUACCUUUAGUAAAUUUAUAAAUAGAUAUUGGAGUAGCAUAUUGUUCUCUCAAAGAAUCUCAAUAUUAUUAUCUUUCUAUGGAACAACAAAAGAAUUGUAGAGGUCAGAAAUCAGACUGAAAAUGGCACUUUGAAUAAGAAUAUUGCAGGAAAGCAAAAAAGAGAAGGGAGCAGGAAAGAAGGGGAAGGAUGACAGUAGAAUUUUUUAUUUUGUUUUUGAGAAGGAUGACAGUAGAAUAUUCUUGCAAGAAAAAAGAUACAACAGACAGAAAUGUCUUGUUAGAAUAAUAUUGACAGCAAUGAGCCAGCUAUAACGCUUCUUUGACCCUAUUUUUAACUCAUCCAAAUAGGAUUUUUUGCUAAAGGGAGAUCAGAGCACAAAGCAUCCCGCAUUAAUGUAGGAAAAAGGAAGAGGAUUUUUAUCUAUGCUAUUAAGUCUGAAUUCUUGGCAAUCUAAGAUGACAUAAGUAUGACUUGGUUGAGUUGAACCAAAAAGCAUUAUGCAGGCCCAAAAAUAACACCUUUUUUUCACUUGCUAACAAAUGUUGAACUAACACGUUCAGACUCAUACCUGAGGGGGGAAGCAUGUAACAGCACAAACUGAAACACAAACACAAAAUGAUAGAGAAAACAUGAAGGAAGCAAAGAUUGACUUCAAUGUAUAUCAAUUUCAAAUGAGACGGUACAUCAUUCAUCACAAUCUUUUUACAUGGGACACAUCCCCGAAGAGGAGAAAUUGAGAGAGAACAAAGAUACAAGAGGACAGUAUCACAUGAAAUCAUACCCUAUAUAGAUUGCAUGAUUGAACUCUCACGGUUUCAUGGAGGUCACCUAACGGCUAUUAGUAUGCAUCUAUGCUCAAGCUGAACUAUAGAGCUUGCCGGUGGAUAACAUGCGUCCAUGAUCUAUUCCUCACGUAAGCAGCCUUUGAAACCUUUUCUUAAUGCAGUUUCAUUUAGGUUUCUACCUAUGAAUACUAACUUGUUUAUUCUCUUCUCGUUUGGUUCCCAUGUCUUGCCUGGGCAUCCAUCUAAAAUGGAAUGUACUCCCUUUGCCAAAAAAUUAAAGAAAAGCAAGACGAUAAUCAGAAUUAGGAAUGACAGAGCAUCAAGAGGAAAAAAUAUCACAAAGACGAAAUUGAUGAGAACCUGGAAAACAUAGCGCUGUUCAGAAUUGCUCACAGAUAAAACCCCUUUCAUCCUGUACAUGUCAUCCCCAUUCUCUUCAAUCAGUCUUUCAAGCCAAUCAUCAACCUGGAUCACAUACCAGCACGGAAAUGUUGUUCAUACAUAAUCAACAAGUUUUGGACGAAAAAUGGACAAGGAAGCAUUUUCAACUAUAAAGUUCAUGUUUUUUCUCUAGCACAUUCAAGUGUUUAGUAGAGCAAGUCUUGUUAAAAUAUCAAUAACCGUUACAUUAGGGCAGAGCCACAGGACUUUAAGCAUGUUGCGGCGAGUGAAAUUGGCAACUCAACAAUAAUCAGAUAAUGAUAUCAAAAAAUAAGAAGUUAACUAGAAAGAGAAGAUACCUCAUCUAAAUCUAAGGUUCCCUCGGACACAAUACUAACACUGGAUACAGCAGAAUCAUGUACAUGAUCAUGAAGGUGGCCGUGGCCCUUGUGAUGUUCUGCAAACAAUGAGGCAUGCUAUCAAAAACCUGAAGGAGCUUUAUGUUUAUCUUCUACUAAGAUGAGAAGUCAGAUCAGUAAUAAAAAAGAAUCAGACAUAUCAAACAACUCAAACAUACAUUUAAAAAAAAAGGAAGAAAACCAGGGAGAGUCGGGGAGACAUUAGAAAGAACACGGAGAACAAAGAAAUGUUUCUCAAAGUUAACACCAUUCACUAACCAUGCCCAUCUUCAUGUUUGUGCCCACAGUGGGAGCCCUCUGAUUGAACUUCAGAAUCAACUCUGGAAAGCAGGCAUAAUUCAGCAACAAUAACUCAACAUACCAUUCUCAGCCAAGGAAAGGGAAACAGUUAAAGGAGCAAGUUCUUUAAGCAAAAUCACCGGUCAAGAUCGUAGCCACCAACUCCCAAAACGAAGUCCAUAUCAACCACCCCAUGCUUUGCUCUCUUUAUUUGUGCCAUCCCAUUGAUAUGCUGGAAAGUCACGGCAAUCAAGAUUGUAUUCAAAAAAGGAGUCGUAAAUAUAAUUGGAAAAAGGGAAAAUAUAACUAAAUGCAGGCUCAAGGAGUACACAUUGCAUAUCCAGCAGAAAUGGCUAUGCAGAUGUUUACCUAGCUGUCAAAGCUGUUAGAAACAUGAAACAGAUGCCACAUAACUUUUUUAAAAAAGGAAAAAACAGAAAGAGUUCAAGAUUGCAGCAACUCAAAAUGCAUUACUAGUCCUAUUGGAACAAACAUUACGGAAGAAAUUAAAGGAUUACAAUAAGAAAGCAGCGAGAAGAGCCUCACAAGGAAAUUCUUCCUUCAGAUUAAGCAGAUUAGUUCUUAAAACUAAAUACGCAAUAGGGCAAUUUUUAAGCUUAGUAUCAUUGAAUCAUUCAUACAUAACAUAUUGCAACAAUGUAAGUUAUGUUUAUGUUAGAGCAACUACCUGCACUGCUAUUGUAAAAGAAAGAGAAAUAAGACUAGAAAAGAAGAGACUCUACCUUGAUUCUCUUUGUUAACACUUCGAGCUCAGAUUCAGUUACCAAGUCUAUCUGUCAACACAAUCAGAAGAACACAAACUGAAAUAUAGGAUUCCCAUGAUUGCUUGAACCUACAGCAGGCUAGGAAAAGUGUAACCAAGUAAAAGCUAGAAGCUGCCUUACCUUGUUCAAGAUAAUACGAUCUGCAUAAGCCACUUGUUCGACAGCCUCAUUCGUAACAAAUCUGGGUUUUACCUCAUUUAAAUGCUGCAACGCGUGCUUGCAAUCAACCAAUGUAACAACUCCAUCAAGUUUGACAUGUCUUGAAACCAAUUCAUCAGAACAAAAUGUUUCAAUAACUGGACCAGGCUUUGCAAGACCUGGAAAACAAGUAGUGACUCAAAGGAUCGGUUAGGGAGAUGAUGAACACACGCUAAACAUGACUUCCAAAUUUCAACUUCUGAAGUACAACAUCCUAUAGAGAUUUAGUUAGACCAAGAUGCAUAAUUAGUAUUUAGUCAGCAUUCUUUUUCCUUUGCGCUGCUUCUCCCCAUGAGUAAGAGGGUCUAUAAAGGAUUGUUCAUUUCAGAAAGCUAGCAAACAACAUUUAGCAAAAUUGAUAAACUUUUUCUGUCAACGCCAGCAAACAACAUUCAGCAAAAUUGAUAAACUUUUUCUGUCAGCAAUGCCAGUGGACAUUAACUAUCCCAGACCACUUAGAGAGCAAUUGAAGUUAACCAUGAAGUUACAACAGAUUUAAACAAGGUUUCGUGCAAAAGACAUUAAAUGAAGCUACAUGCAUCAAAACAUCUGAAUUUCAUUGUCACCGUCAGGAACAGACAAUUAUCAAAACGUAAGAUCAACACUACAUAUGGAUAUGUUCCCUCUUUUUUCCUGUCCAUAUCAUUGCAUCAACAUUGUUGGGAGAAGAGGUAGCAAUAGUACAAGCUACUGUUUUGGAUUAAUGCAGAUCUAUUUCUACGUGGAAUUGUUUAUGGCACAUAAAUUUAACCCAUCCCAUCAAUAAAAGAGAUUAAGAAGAACCAUAUACUAAAAUGCUUUGAGAAUGGUAACAUAACCCUCCAUUAAAAUGUGUUCACAUACUUUAUAGAAGAACUUUAGCUAUUGCUAAUAAGAUGACCUGCAUAUACCAAGGCAAAGUUAUCCUUUCAAGUAUUGAAGUGACUUGCAAGUGCUAAACAACAUAAUCAAAACUUUUUCCCUUUUGAUAAGUACUUCGUGAUCAGAUGUUCUUGACGUCUUAUUAACAAAAUUGAGUCCACCAGUGCACUCGAGCACGUUUGAGAACAACAGUUACAACAUUUUAUUAAAUAGUUUCACAUACCUGUUGUCUCUAUAACUAUGUGAUCAAAUUUGUCUCUCCUAUUCUUAACGAGCUCCAAAAGCAUCUUAACAAGGUCACCACGUACAGUACAACAUAGACAACCAUUAUUAACCAUGAGAAUGUCCUCAUUAGAUGAAGAAUGACUAGCAACCAAUGAGCCAUCAAUGUCCACCUCACCAAACUGCAAUUGGAUUAGUCAUAUAAGAAUUUAAGUAAAUGUAGAUAAUCCAAAAUUUACUAGCCCUAACAUAAUUAAAUACAAAACAGGAAGUCAAAGGGCAUCCAUUAAAUGGAAAAAGAAUCAUCUUAGGUUAUAAAAGUUAACAACAAUAACUGGAUAAAACAAGAAAACACUGGAAUACCUCAUUUUCAAUCACAGCAAUCCGCUUCCCAUGCUGAGAUGUCAGUAUGUGAUUCAACAGAGUUGUCUGCCAGAAUAUCCAAAGAAGAAAAGAAAGAGAUGUUUCUCAUAAGCAUACUAAUCCCAACAUCUUAUAAUGCAAAGUGAUUCAGAUAUCUCAAUUCAACAUAGAGAAACACUACAUUCCUAGUCAUUGUAGGUUAAAAAAAGAAACCGACAAAGAAAAACAAGGUUGUGACAUUAACCAAACAAAUCAUUCACUUCUAAUUCUACAUUGGGCAUAAUUUCUUGAACACAUAAUAAAACAAACACUAGCACAAACAAAGAAAAGGAGGAAAACAUUUCCCUAACUUUCAGUUGAAUACAAUUAGUUUUAAAUCAAGUUCAGAGAAGAAUGUCAUAACCUCAAGGGUAUGACCCCUCCAUCCCCCAAAUUCACAAGAUGACGAAUUCAGAGCAAGAGAAUCAAUUUAUGUAAUUUUCGUUGUGAAUAAAAUUUACAUGCUUGAAAACCACUCCAUCUGUUUCAUAAAGAAUGUCCCUUUUUUUUUCCUGGCAAAUCGUUCAUUCUAACUUUCCACAUGACAUAUUUAACACCACGUGAUUAAAGAACAUUUUAGUACAUUUUUAUUUAUUCAAACUCUGUGCCACGUCAAAACCAAACAAACAAUUGAAACGGAAGGAGUAUAUAAAUAAAGCACCUAUUUUUUAAAUCCAUUUCACUAUAAUAUUCAAUAAUUUAACAAAACAAUAAAAUACGUCCCAAUCCCGAGCUAAUCGAACUCAGCUACAAAUUAGAAUCUAGCCUCAAUUCUAAUAUUCAAUAACUUAGAUUACAAUAGCUAAAAAGAAAAUUAAAAAAUGUGAGAAAAAUGUACUCUCCCCGUUUGUACGGUUUUGACUUGACAGGAAAUUUAAGAAAGUAAAUAACCUGGUAGUCUUAAAAUAAGCAUACAUAGAAGGUACCAAAAUGUGUUUAAUCUUGUGUUCUUACAUAUGACACAUGCAAAAUUGAAAUCAAAGAGUUAUUUAUUAAAAAAAAAAAGAAAGGAGACAUUACGGACUACACCCUCCGUCCAAUUUUAGUUGCGGACAUUCCAUUUACACGGCAAUUAACAAAAUCAUAUAUUGAAUAAUAAAUUUUACUAUUUUACCCUUUGCUCAUAUUAAAAUGUCAAUGGACAUUGCAAUUGUAAUUGCUUACAUUUAACGCAUGCUAUUAAUUGUAGGGAUAAAAUAAAAAAUGUCCAUUUAUUUUUAGCAUGAUGACCAACUAAAAUGAACGGAGGUACUGAUAAAAAGUAAGACAAACAUAUUGAAACGGAGGAAGGGAGAUUUGGGGUCACCUUUCCAGAGCCAAGAAAACCAGUAAUAACAGUGGCGGGAACGCGACUAUCAAGAUUCAAAGCGGCAGCGAUAGAAGAAUCAGAGUCUUGAGGGAAGUAUUGGGGAGAAGUGGAGAAGGUUCUAGAAUUAUUAGGUGAAUGGCAAUGGAAGUUUCUGGAAGCCAAUGAGUGAAGAGCUCUAAGCAAUUGGGAAAUGGGUGGGAACUUGUUGGAAUGUUGAUUGCUGAGUUUAAGGGAAGUUGAUGACUUGGAGAGCAAGUACCUGAGAGUAGUCGCCAUUGUUGCAGAGGACAGUGAAGCUUAAACCCUAGUUAGGGGUUUUGGUGAAUUUUUGAGUUUGAAAAAUUAUUUAUACUAAAAUUUGGAUGUGAAAAGAGAGGGGGGUGCUACCAAAUUAAUACCAUUAUUUAUGAUGGUUCCGUGAUUGAAUAAACUAAAAUAUAAUUAAAAUACAUAGUAAUUAAUCAUAAUUAAAUAACAGUAACUCUAAAUUCAAACACAUAUCAUAAUAUCAAUAAAUAUAGUUACUUAUCGUGUUUUUUAUAUAGUAACUACCAGGUACCACUAAUAUAUAAAUCUGAACACUAUGCCUUGAAAAAUUAAAUUUAACUAUACUAUCUUCGUCGAUUAUUUAUUUUUUAUUAUUUAUCAUUUUGACAUUUGAAGAAAAAAUAUUUUUUUAUUUUUUCUGCCUUAUCUAAGCAUUAAUUAUUUUUCCUCAAAAUUAAAUUCAAGACACAAUAGUAAACAUCAUUUAAUAUGAUACUAUAAUAAAAUAAUUAUGCCAAUAAUUAUUUUUCUUAAUGAAUGUGUCGAAUUAAAGUGUGACAAGUAAAAACAAAUGGAGGUAGUACUUUACAUAUUUUAAAUAUAGGAAUAAUAUUGAAAGAAUAUGUCAAAUUUUUAUUGAUUUCAUAAAAUGCAUAAGUAAACUGAAACAAUCUAUUUUCUCAAUAGGUCAUCUAAAAUUUGAGGGACUUUUCAAGAAAAUCUAAAUUCCCAUAAACUCAUGGAUAUUCAUAAAAAAAUUGAAAUCUCCAAUAUCCCAUAAAAUCAACAACAACAACAACAACAAACCCAGUGUAUUCCCACUUAGUGGGGUCUGGGGGGUAAGAUGUACGCAGUCCAUACCUCUACCUCUGAUGAAGUAGAAAGGCUGUUUCCGAAAGACCCCCGGCUCAAGUCACGAGAUAUCACACAAACACAUAGUAAAGCACAGAAGCAGAUGACAUAACAUAGAUACGGCACCCAUAAGGACAAUAUCCCAUAAAAUCAUGGGAUAAAAAUCACGAGAUAUUAAUAAAGAAAUUAUCCUAUGUUCGAGAAAUAGGUCACUAACGGCUCUCGAAUUACGAAAAAAAUUGAAAAAAGGAUCAAGAGGAAUAGAUUUGUAACCACCUCGUUUAUCAAUAAAAUUAUUGUUUCUUCGUAUUUUUAUUUGUGGUUGAAGUUUAUUUUCCAUGUAAAAAUUUGUGGAAAACAAAUUGACACACUCAGUGGGACCAAAUCUGUCCUUCAUCUCUAAAUCAGAUAAUCUGUAGCCGCCACAUAAAGAUGGAAACUCUAUUGGUACUUCAACACUCGUCAUCAAAUCUACACUUCGACGACAUUUGUGGGACUCUAAAUUCUGUUAGAGUUCUAGGAGGGUACUUUACCUAAAUCCCGCCUAUUUAAAGGGGUAACAUAUUCCCUAAAAUAGACAUCUUGAAUAUCUCAUAAACUGUGGAUAUUCGUAAAAGGAUCGAAAUCUCCAAUAUCCCACAAAAUCAUGGGAUAUUCAUAAAGAGAACAUCCUAUGUUCGAGAAAUACGCCACUAAUAGCUCUCGAAUUACGGAGAAAAUUGAGAGAAGAAUCAAGGGAGGAACAGAUUUGUAACCACCUCGUUUAUCAAUAAAAACUGUUGUUGUAUAAGUCAUCUAAACUUAAAGAAAUGAAUUGUAAAUGAUUACUACUUAUUAAUAAAGAUAAAUUAGGCCGUAAAAUAUAGUAAAUGUUCUUAUUUUUUAAAACUGAACAAGGAAAAACAAAUAUAGAUUUUUAGUAUAAUGAAGAAGUAAAAAUGGACAGAAAAAAAUGUUUGAGACAAAUAUUUUUAGUAUGGAGAUAAGUAUUUUGAGAUGAAAUUAUAUAAGGCAGUUCAAUCUUUACUACACAACAGGACUAAUAGAUAGAUUUCAUGUUGGAAGAACAAAAGGCUGAGCAAUCUUAUUGCUCAAUUUUGUAAGUUAAGGAUACUUACAAAGAGGUGACAUUAGACAUAAACCUACUUUAGUAUGUCAGCAGUCAGAAGGAAAAAAAAAACUAAAAACAUAUCUUGCUUAUGAUCAUUCAUUUCCAAGAGCCCCUACUAAGUUUAUGAAUAUGUCUUUCACAGGGACACAUGCUUGUCUGUCAUCUUUUGCAGCAUUCUGGAUUCUGGAAUCAGCAAGGUAGAUUUUUCUUGCUCUCUUCUUUGACAUGUUUGCCUUCUUCGAUAACUUCCCACGAGACUUGGUAUUAAAGGGACCAUUUUUCCUAGCUUGGGAACUCAUAUCUCCAAAUUUCUUGCUGUUUUGCUGAAUGUUGUCGUAAUUAGUUGCAGGAGAGGAGGUAGAACUUGUGUAACAGACGGGAGUUCUCUUCGACUUUCUCCAAACAAGUUGAGGCAUUUUGCUCUUGUUUGUCGUCUGAUCAGAGAUCUCUUUUUUAACAGGAAGCAUUGAACUAUCAUAUAACACUUCUAUGUUGAUGGGGUGCCCGACGAUUGCCUUUCCGUUUAGUCUACUCAUUAGAGAAACAAGGGGAGUAUGCUCUCCUCUAUAGGUGCGUUGAACUGUCAUAUGCACAUCCAUUAAUGUCUUGGUACUAUUCUUUCGUGUGGUCAACUUCGAACAAAGGCUUUGGAUGCUGGCGUCCUCCGAGAAACUGUUCCCUGGACCAGGCUGAGACUUCUGACUGCCAUUCCUUGACAUGGUUUCAAAUGAUUCAGUCUUGAAUCCAAAUUCAGUGCUUCUUUCAUUAGACGAAACAACUGGUCUGCUCUUAAAAUGUUGAUUAUGCACUUUCCCAUUGCGCUUCCAUUUGUUGACUGCUGGACGACUGAUGACCUUGAAGCUCAUCUUCGUUGGUCGCAAUGCAUAGUGACCUGAAUUUUCAGAAUAGAUUAAAACAGCACAACAGAAUCCAGUCAAUUGGUCGGUCCUGAAACUACUCUAUGACUUUUGUAAUGCCUCUUCUGUUGAGCAGCAUCAUACUGACAGAAGGAAAGGAAAAAGUUUCCAUCUUUCAUCGAUGUGAAUUAAAUCAUAUGAUGUAACGGAUAUUCUUAGAUGUAGAUUUUCUAGAAUUGAAGUCACUGUCGAUGCCAUUUCCAUGACAUCACAGCAGCACACUGAUGUAAUAACUCAAAGAAAAUGAAUGCAAAGGAAGGGAAGUUUGCUAGUGCUUUAGGAAUCAUUGCAUAGAAAUGUAAGGCAAGAUUAUAUGUAACAUCUGCUCAAAUAAGAGAAAGGCAACACUUAAAAAAAGAACCAGCUCAAGUGAUGCUAAUUAAGUAAAGAUAAGGAUUUAAACUUCAAACAUUACGAUGGAAUAGAAAGGAGAUAGAUGUGUAUCAAAACCAUAAACAAGAGGAUUAAACAAAGAAACAUGGGAUAAACAUUAACCUGCAGUUGUCUUUCUCUUUCUAUGUGAAUCACUCUUCAAGGAACUCGUGGACUUGGAAGAAGAAUUUUCUGCAAUGAUAUUUGAUGAUUGAGAAUAAACUGAUUUCUCCAAGAAAGAUAUCGAGUUGAUAGGGGAGCAAAAUCUUUUGCUUCUCGUUGCUCUUUGAUUACUUUCGCCAUGAGUCUCACCCUCUUUGAAUCCAGAAACAAAUACUGUAAUGAACAAACAAAAUUUACCAGCAGAUCGCUUUGUUGAUUUAAACAAAUUUCAAGAUUAGGAUGAUGAGACACUUCUUUCUUAAUGUGGCAUCAUGAACAUUAAAUUUAGCAUCCAUCUUGAUCGACAUAUAAGCAUCAUUAUUCACAUAUAUUAUCAAAUACAAGUACUAACAACGACGAAUUGGCAGCCUAAUACAACAAAGACACAAAAUCUCAUAAAAUACCUGGCCUUUCCAGUUUCUCCUGAUCUCCCUUUUCAAGUUCAAGAGCAUGAAGAAUGGCAUCUUCUCUACGCACAUAUUUCAGGCUUUUACUACAGGUAAAUGUCUUGGAUGAUUCAGCCUUUUUGAUACAACCAUCAAACUCACCACAUCGAAAUGACUUUACACGAUUAGAAUUCUCCAAAUUGUACCAACACCUGAAAUAAUUUUGUUAGACAAUUGCACACAAACAUGAUUUCACACACUCAUUUGCCUGAUCUCAAAUCCACAAAAGAUUGCAAUAAGCACACCAAAGGUAAAAAGCAACAACAAAUAUAGCAGAAAUUAACCUCUUUCUCUGUUUCCUUACUGCUUAGCAACAAAAGACAGCUAUAUAUCCAUUUACACCCUUAAAUACUUGGUUUUUCACCCAAAAAAAUCCACCAAAUCUCAACUCCCUACCAAAAAUAAAAGGGGGUACUCAAGAACACCAUAUUCUAAACUUCUAACAACACAUAAAAGCACAAAAAGAACAGAAAAAAAAAAGAGCUAAGAACCCAAAAAAAUAAAACAAAUCUCAACUCCCAACCAAGAAAAACCAAAAGGGAUAUUCAAGAAUCCCAUGUUCUAACAUGUAACAACACACAAAAAUAAGCAAAGAAAACAAAGAGGGGUAUUCAAGAAUCCCAUAUUAUACCUUCUAACAACACACAAAAAGCACAAAAAUAAGCAAAAAAACACAAAAGGGAUAUUCAACAAAAAAAAAAAAAAGAGCUAAGAUAAGAGCAUACACAGAAGCAUUAUCUCGACCAAGAAGCUUAAUAGGAAAUCUUGAACUUAAACUAGCACGAGAAAGAAUCCCAGAGCUUGGAAUCUCAUCACUACACAAUAUUCUCCCAGGCCACCAUGUUCCAUUUUGUCUUAACACCCAAACUACACUACCUCCUCUUCUUUCUAUAACACUCCCUCCCAUUUUUUUUUUCAACAAAUAUUCAGAUUCAGCUCUUUAUGAGGAGAUAUAUAAAGAGAUUUUACCAAAGUUUUUAGUACUACUUUCAUCAUUAUCAUCAUUUGGCACAAGGUAGAAAAAAUAAAUUUAAAAAUAAAGUUGAAGAGCCAAGAAUAAAGUGUGUCCAAUGGGGGAAUGCUAGCUGUGUUUUUUUCUUCUUUUGUUGUUUUUGAAUGUACGAUUAAGGUACCGUUGCCUCUCUUUUUGGUUUUGUCUUUUUGUUUAGACUUUGGAGCAUGGAGGGAAAGCUACUUGUGUAAUACUAUCAUAGGUGUCAAAUAGAGAAAAUGGUGAAAAGUCACCUAACCCAAAUUUCAACUACACACUUAUAUUUUGCGGGUCUAUGAUCCUCUUAAAUUAUUUUAAAAUAUAAUUAUUAUUCCCCAAACUAUUUUUAAAGUGAAGUAUAUAUCCAUCUAAAAAGCUCAUACCCAAAUCUUUUUAGGUAAUGGUCUACACGCGCUGCCACAUAUCAUGUCACGUAAUUUCACGUCAUAUUACUUUUUUUACUAUAAAAAAAUUGAUUAUUUUUCCUUUUCUCUCUUCGUUUUCUUUCUUCUUCUCCAAUUUUUCAUCUUCCUCUUCCUCCUCUUCCUUCUCUUCUUCUUCUUCUUUUCUUUACAAACAAUGACAUCAAUGGCAUAUGACCAAAUGAUGUAAGAUUACUCCUCAAUCAACAAUUAAUGUCUAAAAAAUAUUCAAUUUUCAUAAAAUGGCACCGCCUUCUCCGAUUAACGGAGAAAGAUAAGUAUCUUCAAUGGUGCACAAUUUCUGACAAUGAAACACCGUUGGAUCGUGACGGUGACAGCAAAAUUCAAAAUUCCAACGUCGUCUUUUUCGAUAAAUUUUAGCAUUCUCAACGUCAAUAAAUUUUUUAAGAGCUAAGGAAAUAUUCUAACCCAAAAAUUAAUUCGAAUUUUUCAAUCUGAAUUGAUUCACAUUCUCAACGUCAAUCUGAAAUUGGUUGAUAAAUUAACGUUGAGAACACUGAAAUUAAUCCAGAAAAAUUUUAAUUAUAUAUCAGUGAACAUCAUUGAUUUGACUGAGAAUAUUCAAAAUUCUCAAUCUGAACUGAUUCAAAACUAGUUUUAUGAAGUCGGAACAAGUCGAUUUUGUUCAUGAGGAAGAUGAUAAAUUAAUUUUAAAUGUCAUUGAUGAGUUCUUGCAUGUCAAGAAGAAGAAGAAGGAGAAGGCGGAGGAGAAGGAGAAGGAGAAGGCGGAGAAGAAGGAGGAGGAGGAGAAGCAGAAAAAGGAGGAGGAGGAGGAGGCCAUUGAUGCCAUUGUUUGUGAAGAAGAAGAAGAAUUGAAGAAGAAGAAGAAGAAAGAAAAUGAAGAGAGAAUAAAGAAAAAUAAUAAUUAAAAUUAUAUAUAUUUAUUUAAAGAAACAUAAAAAAUAAAUUUUUAAUAAAUUAUUUUCGUUCUCACUCUCUUUAAAGAGAGUGAAACACUCUCUUGCCAUAUCAGCAUUCAAGGGGUAAUAAUUUCAUUUUAAAAUAGUUCAGGGGGUCAUAGGAUCCUCGUAAAGUAUAAGUGUGUAGUUGGAAUUUAGGGUAAAGGUUGGGGGAGGGGGGCUUUUGACCAUUUACUCAGUCAAAUAUAUACUUCAUCUAUUCGAUUUUUCUAAUUGCAUUUUCAUUUUGUUCUUUUCACUUCUUAUCAUUAAUUAUUUAUUCUUUAAAUUAUUUUCAAGAUAUAUAUUUUUUUAAACAUUAAUUAAUAAAGAUUACAAUCAUAUAGCUAUAUCAAUAAUUAUUUUUUUAAUAAUGUGUCGUAUCAAAAUGAUAAAGUAAAAACGAAUAAAGGGAGUGGUUUAAAAUAUUUGUGCUCCAACAGUACAGCACAUGCGACACACUCACCUAAAAAGUUUUUAUAAUCACACAAAUAUUAUGACAUAUUUAAAGCCAUAUAUUUAAUAAAUUCUGUAGUCACAAAAACCACAAGUUUGAAAGUGCACUCUGAUCCCAUUGUAUGUAUGUGUUGCAAUUAGCUAUGAGCAUAAAAAUCGAAAUAUCGAACCAAAUUAAAUUAAUUUGGUUUUUCAAUUCUAUAUUUCUAGACUUUGGUUCUCGGUUGUAGAGUUUCAGCGCACCGAAGAAUCAAAUUUUUUUUUUUUACUGAUUUGGGUUCUCCCAAAGUUCAAUAUCGAUCGAUUAGCUGUUCAAUUAAUGACGCCAAGUACUCUGUUCUAAUUUAUAUGAGGUAAUUUGACUUGACACGGAACAUAAAAAAGGAAGAAAGACUUUUGAAACUUAUCAUCUAAAAUAAGUCAUAGAUAUUUGUGUUGCUGUAAAUCAUUUCAGUUUCAAUUCUCUAUAGUGACAAACACUAAGGGGUCGUUUGGUAGAGUGUAUAAGAUAAUUCUGAAUAGGUUGUAUUAGUAAUGCUGGAUUAGUGGUGCAGAGAUUAGUAAUACAGGGAUUAGUAAGACUGGGAUUAUUUUUUAUGCAGUGUUUGGUUUGAUGUAUUGAAAACAAUAUGUAUUGUUAUAUUUUAAAAAGAAUAUUGCUUGUUUACAAAAAUACCCUUUGACAUAUUAUAACUUUGUUAAUUUUCUUUGCAAAACUUUAUUAUUCUUUUAAAAAAUAUAUAUAUAACUAAUUAUUUACUUUGGAAUUUUAAGAUUCAAUCAUUCACUUACAGAUAAUUUUUGGUUAUCUCUUCUUUAUUUGUUCAUCAUUUUUUUAUUGUUUCCACUUUGUGAUGUUCUUACGUUGGAGGGAGAUACGUGUAACUUUUGAAUGAGACAAUAGAAUUAUUAUUAACAUAAAUUUGUGUUGCGUAAAGUGUUAAAGCUAAUUAGAAAAAAUAUUUUUAUUUAUGAAUAUCCUAUUUUCAAAACUAAAGCUUGUAUGCAAUCAUGCAAUUUAUUUUCGAAUUUUGAUCAAUAAGUAUUUUUUAAAUUAAUGGAGUAGUUUUUUUAUGACUAAAAUUAUUUGGAGGGAUAUUAUUAUCUUCAUAAAUUGAAAAGAAAUAACUCAUAUUGAAUAAAUUGAAAAGAUUUAGAAAAAAAAUUAAAGAAAUUUGAGGGCGUUUUUGUCUUGACACAUAUUUGUCCAUGGACUAAUAAUCUCAUCAAAUUGGGUGUAUUAGUUAUACACCCUAUAAUACCAUGUAUGAUAUAUAACUAAUCCAUGUAUUAGUUAUACAUAGCUUCAAAAUUGCUACCAAACAAUGUAUUAAGUAAUCCCAUCAUUUAAUCCAUGGAUUAUUUUCGUAAUUCACCCUACCAAAUGGGAGCUAUCUGAUACCUAUUGCUGGUGGAGUGACACAUAUCCCGUGGAAUUAGUUGAGGUGUGCACAAGCUGACGCUUACAAAAAAUCAUUUCAUUUAAAAUAAGAUAAGUAUUUUACAAUCAAAUUGUUACUAAAUAUAAAAAUAUGAAAAUGUAUCGUUCUUAGCAAAAAGAAAAGUGUGAAUUAGGAAGUAGUAUAUGAUGACAACUCUACAUAAACAUUGGAUAGAUUGUGAUUCACUCAAGGCGCUAACCAUCUCUUGUAUUAGCAUUUAGCGCACUUCAAGAAUCUCUCUCUCUUUUCCCAUUUUUGGGUUCAAGAUUUGGGAGUACAAUAACAUCAUUGCUUUUCCAUAUGUCAUGUUAAUUACUUCUGAUGGAAGAACAUAAUACGUUAUUCUUGGUUCCACUAUCAUCACAACAUUUAGAGUUGCAUUCAUAAUAGAUUCAUAGCAAAUGAAUCAGACUAUCAUAAUGUAUCAGAUGCAUCACGAAAAAAAAUAAAAAAUCGAUGUUACAAUCAAACAAACAAAUGAAAAAAAAAAAAGAGAGAGAAUCGUUUGACUUGAUUGGGUUAUUAAUAUCGAAAUGAAGUCAUCAAUUCGGCUACGAUAUGUUUUUUCUAAAUAAACCAAACUUCAAAAUCACAAUAAUUUAAACGAUAUAACUCUCUCCAGAUUGCACAAUUUUCUUAAAUCGUUCUAUUCGUACUACACGGAUGUAACAAUUGAGCACCUAGAGCAUAUGGUGGUUGUGUUAUAAAUGAUUGAUCAAUCUUUUCUAUGUGCAAACCAUGUAACUCUGUCAAUUUAAAUUUAAAUUUAGAUUAACAAAAUAAUAUAGUUGACAUUCAAGCAACCCUUUCUAGAAAUAAUAAGUCACAAAAUAAUAUAAUUGACACUCAAGCAACCCUCCUAAUAUCCAGGUUGACAUUGAUUAGGGUGGUUAACUGGAGCUAAAAUUAACUCAAGACCUAAAAGUUAUGAAAUUCCAAAUCAUAUUAAUUUACCCUGAUUAAAUAAGAAAUAAAGUUAAAAGAAUAACAGUAGCGCACAAAGCAUUCGUUCAAUGACAUGAACACAAUUGUAUUCAUUGACUUGACUUAAUGUGAACAUCGACUACGUGUAAGAAAACAGAAAGAAUAAUAAUAACGGGACUUUGAAUUAAAAGAGAAAAACAAGUUUUCCAAUUAAGUGAGAGUCCUUCAGAUUUUUAAAAUUAGGUGAAAGGGACAAAAUUUUUUUGAGUUUUUUUUAAAGUUUUUUCGUUCCAACAACUUCUCCCAAUUGUUCGACAACUGUGCGAAGUAGUUGAGACAACUAAUGUAAUUGUCGAACAAACUUCAUUUUUUUAAACCCACUUGUCCCCUUUUUUUCUCAAUAAUAACUGCAGAUGGAAAAACAAAAAGUUGUUAUCGAUAUCAGUAACUUAGCAGGGAAAACAAGAUGGGAGAAAUCAAUGAAACAUUUGAGAAACAGGAGAAAAUAAUAUGGCCUGGCUACAAAAUGCAGCUGAUCAAAGAUGUACAAUGCCCUCUCUCUAUCCAAAAGAAUAGUCAAAAUAGAUAGAAAAGAAAAAGCUAUUUUUAGGAACUUUACAAUAUUUGGAUCUAAAGAACAAUGUGAGCAUCAUAAUCUUUCUAUCAUUCACCUAGAAGGAGUUUCUGAUAGCUGACUAUUCAAUGCAGAACUUGAGGGAAUAGAAGGCAUAGCUCCAUUAUCUUGAGACGAUGAACCGCCCCACCUGGGCUCCGCAUCUGAUGGCUCCAUUACAUGCACCGCGCCAUCACUCAUACCAAGAGCAAAUUGGUUGGAAUCAGAUGGAUGUGCUGCUAUCACCACAGGAAAUGUAGCGCCGCUGCCACUGCUUAAACAAGUGAAAUUCAGAUUAGUUGGCCACAGUACCGAAAGAUUACCCCUAAUACCAGAUAUAGAGUAAAGAGCAUGCCAUUAUUUCAUGUUACGACAUAGAGAGGCUCAUGCCCUAUUCACCAAAUAUAAGCAGAAAUCGCAAGUGCUGACUUUGUUUUACCAAACGUAUUGUACAUUCAGUCGAGAACUUUCUAGCAAGUUAAUCUCCCUCAAAAUUGUCCUCCAUAUAGUGUAAGGUUUUGCGGGGAAAAUGAUCAUUUCUUUUAGAAUUUCAUUUUCCUUUUGAACAAACACAUGCAAGAAAACCAUUUUCCUUAAACUUGCAUACCAUAAUUUUCUAGAGUAAUAUAUUUUCAAGCGAAUAAGUUGGCAUCCAAACAAAGGCAAGUUUCCAAGAGAUCACUAAAGAUCUGGCAUCGGCAUAUUUAGGCAUCAUGGACUAGUAUAUCAUUCAAUGUAAAGAGAGAAAUAUGAUUGGUUUGAUUGAUAGGAAGCCGGGGUGGCUCAAGGGUAAAGCUAGUAAAGCGUCUACUUUAGGCCCCAAAAUUUUGAGGCCCCAAAAAAUUUAAUAUGAAUUUUAUGAUUUUAAUUUCACUUCAAAUAAUAUCAAAGAUUGAAAAAUAUAAAAGGUAUAAAAUUUAAACUUAUAAAAAUAAAGGAAGAACUGUCUAUUGUUUAUUAAAAAUAUUUUAGAACUUUUUAUCAAAUCUUGAUAUUAAUAAAUAAAGUUUUUACAAUAAUAUUCAAGGUAAUGUAUUGCAAACAAAUGACUAAUAUCUUAUUAAUUAAAAUUUGUCCUUACUUUUAUAAAUAAUAAUAUUAGUAUGUUCUAAAAAUACUACACUAAAAAAAGUACGUAAGAAUCAAAAAAAUAUUGAUAAUACUUUUGUUAUGUGCAUAUAUAUAUAUAUAUAUAUAUAUAUAUAUAGGCAUAAUAUUAAAAUUUGGCUUUUAGGCUACUAAUUUUAUUGACACGGGACUUGAUAGGAAGAGCACAUAGAUCUAUUUAACAUGUUUGAUAAAUCUUGCUAUAGGAAACUUACAAGGACGUCUUUUGUUACUACUGAACUUGUGUGCUAUUUGGGUUUUCGGAAAGGGGUUUAACGUUGGUCUUAGGCUUGAGCAAUAAUUAAACUCAGAAUCUCCGAUUUGAGGUACAACCGACUAAGCGCUUUUUAUAAUUUCUCUUUGCAUUUAUGCAAUUUCAGUCCAACCCAGCCCAACCCACUACAGUACUACUUACAUGUGCAGUGCUACCCAUUUCGGAACAAUGAAUCUAUCCAAGCAAAGCAUUACAGUACUACUUACAUGUGCAGUGCUACCCAUUUCGGAACAAUGAAUCUAUCCAAGCAAAGCAUUAAUACCUGCUACAAUGAAUCUAUCCAAGCAAAGCAUUAAUACCUGCUAAUUGAAGAUAAGUAAGCUGGGGGUGCAAUUCUACAUCGAAGUCUGAGACUGUCCGCAUCAAAUAUUCCGAUUGCACCAUCGCAGAAUCCAGUAAAGAUCAGCAGACCAUCGCAAGAGUAUAUAGCACUUGAAAUGGGAGCAGAAAGGGAAUCUCUUGGAUACCACUGCAACCAAUUACCGUUCAAAUCAUUUAUAUUUGAAUAUUUGAACUAGGAAAAGUAAGGAACUUAAAAGGUCAACAUGUCUCGUGUUAUAAUUAAAUAUGAAACAUGAAAGUUCUCUUUUGUGAGCUAUGCCAAGCAAUAUAUAUGCAGCUACACUGCCAAGUAGAAGCAAGAAAUGAAAUAGAAACAAAAAGAGUGAAAAAAUAUCUCAAUACAGCUUAACUCCGUCAAGCCUGGACGAGUGGUGAAGAAGUAUAGAGCACUGGAGGAGUAGUGAAGAAGUAUAGAGCACUUUAGUUGGUUUUUGACCAACGGAAAGCAUGCGAUCAGGGUUGGAUUUGAGUAAUAGACUGACUGUCAAGGAGUGAAAGCAACUUGACUAGUUGAAAAGGGUACUAAAAAGGAACUGCUACCAACUAGGCCAGAAAGAAGACAAACAUGGUAAAAGCAUUAAAAAAUAACUUUUAUAAUGGGAACAAAGAACACAGAAAAUUGCAUUGGUUCCAAGCAAUUUUGGUUUAGCAUUGCCAUAAUAGAUCCUAAGUGCUAAGUGAUUGUCUCCUAUCCAACUCUUGAAAUAUAUCCUAAGUGCUAAGUGAUAUCCUAAGUGCUAAGUGACUGUCUCCUAUUGAACUCUUGAAAUAUGCUGGAAAGUUAACCCAAACAAACAAGAAACAGCAAUAUUUAAAACAUCCAUCCCAAAGAAUGGAUGUGAUACAAUCACAAUUAAAGAUGAUGACAACUUUACAAUAAACACUACCAGGAUUGUCAUCAGUACAAUCACAAUUGAAGAGGUGAUGAGAAUGAUACAUAUACUGAUAAGUGGAAUUUAGUUAACCUAAAACACCUGCUUUAUGAGCAAUCAAUACAAAUUCUAUUUGCACAUUUACUAAUAAAAUACAAUAAAUUCAUGUGAAGACUUACUGAACGUUGACAUUCAAGUUGGGUAUCAUAGAUUCCAAUUUGGCUUUCAUGAACUACUAGUACAUGAGAUUGGUCAUUAUGGAACUGGACUCUAGUUUCUCCAACUAAGGGAGCUUGGUGACCUGGCGGCGCUUGUAUAGGCCUUGCUUUUUUCUUGUCCCAGCCAUCAACACUCCAGAUACAUAGCUGCAUCACAGAACAAGCACCAAAUAUUUUGCUAUUAGCAUGUCAUUGAAAUUUUACAACAUUACUACUAUAGCAUCAACUCUGCAAAGAUGCGACGAAAGCACCAUUGCCCACCCUAAAGAAAUAACAAACUUAACGCAUGCAUAAAUACAAUCCAUAAAUCCAAAUGGUACCAGCAGUGCUGUGCAUUGAAAGGAAAUGAAUGUAGAGAGGUAAAAUUAAUGUAAAGAGGAGAAAAAAACGUCAACAUGCCUGUGCAUCUGCACCUGAAGAUACCAGUACAUUCAAACUCUGUGAAAAUGCAAGGCCUGUGAUCCGUUUCUGGUGACCCUUGAGCUUGAUUUUGACCUAAGAGUGAAAGAUAAAGAAGAAAACACAAAAGAUCCGUUACCACAAAAUUCUAAAGGACAGACAGGAAUAAGGAAAACAGAAAACAAAGUUGUUAAGCAUAAGGCUUAAUGGAAAUGUAAUAAAAUAAGCCUCUUGCUUUGAUAUUGAUGGUCUAUAUAAUCCUGACCUUAAAAAGUAUGUUAAUUUUGAGGUGAGGAGAAGAAACAUGGUUGGUUACUGUAUUAUAUUAAUGAUUAACAGCCAUUUGUCUAAGAAUAAAGAUAAGGGGUCUAUACAUUCACGCUUCCGUCCACUUUUAAUUAAUUGAUAAUGCUGAUGGGGAGAGCACCCAACCCCUCCAUAUUUACUUUCUUCCAAACUGAGUGAAAUGGACCUCAUCCCUCGAGAUUUGCCUCCUCUCAGGCAAUCCUUCCUCUUUACAACCCAAAACUAAACAUAGCAUAAGAACAUUCUUUCAAUUUCAUUAUCUAAACCUUCACUAAAACAAUGAAGCCUAACGUAAACUCAGACUUAUUAGCAGGCAUAUUUGAAGACAAACAUGCAUGCUGAUAUUCCCACCGUGCAUGGCUAAAAUAAGCAUUGUAAAAAAUAGGAGAAAGAGGAGAAGAUGGAAGCUACAUAAUGAAGUUUCAGAAUCAGAAUAAACGGUGACAGAAAAAGAGCAAUACUGUUCCUUCCAAAAUGACAUGUGCAACCUAGGACCACCACACAAAGAAGGAAAAGUACCUCAUCAACCCUAACAUUGUAUAUCUGGAUAGUGGAAUCCUCCAUUCCUACCGCAAUAACAUUGUUAUCUUGAGGAUGAAAUGCCAAAUAGGUGGCUGCAGGGGGUGGAGGCAUGAAAGUUGUCAUCACCUGACCAGAGUUCAUGUGUCAGUCCAGAUUAACCAAUUUAUCAUCGUCAAAGAAGGGACAAGUCAACUUUUUACAUAAUGAUAAAAAUGUUGAUAAACUUCACGUUCAAGAACUAGACGAGAUCUUCGUCCACUCCUUUUCCUAGGGAGGGUCAACAAACCUUGAAGGUCAUCAUGUUAAACAAGGACACCUUCCCUCCAGAAGCAGACAUGACGUAAGAAUCAUUUUUAGAUAAAGCAAUACAUGCAGCGGCAUCUUCAGCUGAUUUUGCAUCACCGACAUCAUUAGACAUGAGUGCUCCAUUUGCCGGCAGCCACAGUUGUGGAGAAACUGCCGCUGAGGACUGAAAGAAAGAAGUAAGGAAAGCAAACCAAUCAGAAUUUUCUGAAAAGAACUACUGAGAAUUAGAUCUGAGCCAUAUGGAUACUCCAACUUAACCUUUCCAGAUGGAUUUCGCUCAUUUCUCUGCCAUUUCCAGAGCUUAUGAAUGGCAUUAGAGCCCAGUGCCAGGACAGCAAGCCCAGAGUUUGUAUAGAGCAGCCGCAACACCUGCCACCAUUACAACAAAUAUCUUUAGGUUGCUGACAAAGACUGUUAAUCGAAGAAGCAUUUUGUGCCUCAACAAUACAAUAGCAACAAUUCAUAUUCCACCAAGAAAGACAUAAACAUGCAGCAGGAGAUUCAACAACAGUAUCCAGGAACAAUAAAGAGUUGUGAAAGACCUCAUAGAGCAAGCAAAAGAAUGGCAUAUCUGAUAAUACAAGCUAUAAAUGAGGUGGUCAAACAAUUCAACGGUAUUAGAGCAAACAGAGAACCUAGGUUCAAGUUUCUCUGUCACCCUUCAUCAAAAAAGAGUUUCCAGGUACUUUUGCCGAGAAAAAGGAUCAAACCCGCACAUGAGAGCGUAUUCGAGAUAUAAGCAAAUAAAAUAGUCUUUUCUAAACUUUUUAUAUGAGGUAGUUACACAAUUCAAUUCAACAAGGAUUAUGACAAACGAUGCCACAAAAUUUAAUCUUCAAAAGAGAACCUAACACAAGCAAGUGAAACUAAAAAUGUAGAUGAAGUUUUCUAACAACCUUGCUGGCUGACUGAGGGUCUGGCAACUUUAGCGUUUUAAGUUGAGAUGAGUCGGUAAUAUCAGAGAAUUUCCAGCUUUUAAUCUUGUUCAUAUUUUCCGCAAUUUUAGGUUUCACGUCGGGAACUCUGCUGCUUUCCAUAGUGGCCUAUUGAUACAACAAGCAGGCUAAGUAAAAUACAAUAGAAUCAUACUUCAAACGACAAGAUCAGGAAGCACCAUGCAUUCCCCUGUCAAAGGUGAUAAAGAGGGGGAGGGGGAGAUCAUGGCAGAUAACAUACCAGAUUGCCGAUAGACAUUGAUUGCUGAGUUCUAUCACUCCGUUCAAUGAUUUGAGGUGCCGAGCCAGAUAUAUUAGGAAUUGGACCUAAGGAACCAGCAAUUGGUGGCUGCACAGUGAAUCAAUUUAAAGACAACCAUCAACUGGCGGUAUGAAUAUGACAAUUUAAAUUAGUUAAGGGCCUUGUGUAGUAAGAAACCAUAACUGCCCAAAUGAGGAGCAAUAGUACCUUAACAUUGACAUCAGAAAACGCACGUGAACCCUCAAAUGCCCUACUCUCCAGCAUCCUCAGCAUUCGCUGCCCAUCAGUAUUUGCCAGAACCUUGAUUCCAUUAUCACUCGUCGUGACAGCCAGCAAAGAGCCUUCCUUAUUGAAUCUUAGUCUCGGACUGGCCUGAAAAGGAAAAUGGAGUUCAAAAAUUAUCAAUUUCAAUAUUGAUGAUCAAGCAAAUGAAUUCAAGUAACAGAAAUACUAACAGGCAAUCCACCAUCGCCAUCAGUAUACGUAAGCAUGUUGGUAUUAUCCAUUUCCCAAAACUUUAUCUGGAACUCAUCACCUGCAGCUAAGAAACGAUUUCUCGUUGUGUCAAACUGCACUACACCUAAUGAUCGCUUUCUAAAGCCAGAGAAUGUCCUCUUGAUUGCUCCUUCACUCUCAUUCCACUCUACAAGGUGGGAUUCACCUUCUUUACUUGUACCACAAGAGAAAAGUCUGAAAGAAGAUCAGAAAAGUUAAAAAUGACUAGAUAUAAAAUCAAAUGCAAACAAGUUUGUCUUGCUUCUCAAAAAAGUUCGUCUUCUUUCAGACAUCAAUCAUAAAAUCGCGUAGGCCUCUUUACAAUUCAUUUUUCUACCUUCAAUAAGCACCAUUAAAUCAUUCACUAUUGCUGCCAUAUCUUUUAUCCUGGCACCUUUUGAGUAUAAAACUCACCCUAACGAGUCCUCCUCCAACGGCGUCAUAUUUUGCCUUAGGGAGUGUGCAUAACUUUAGCCCUUUUUUAUUUUUUGGCCAACGGUAUGUUUGAUAGAGUGCCAAAGAAGGUUGUUAGAGAGAGCACACUUUUAUUUAUUUAAAAAUGUUUUUCAACACACCAUCUCAAGUCCGUCUUAAUCUUUUUUCACGAAUCAACAACAACAACAACAACAAAAAACCCAGUGUAUUCCCACUUAGUGGGGUCUGGGGGGGGGUAAGAUGUACGCAGUCCAUACCUCUACCUCUGAUGAAGUAGAAAGGCUGUUUCCGAAAGACCCCCGGCUCAAGUCACGAGAUAUCACACAAACCCAUAGUACAGCACAGAAGCAGAUGACAUAACAUAAAUACGGCACCCAUAAGGAAUAUAAAACAGAGGAAAGCAGAGGAAAGCACACAGAUUCGUAAUAAACAUGGAACACGGAACACGAAACACUGAAUACGGAAUCAUAACAGGAAUACACCCCCACCAAUUAAUUCCCUACACUAGCGACCCGAACUGGCCCUAAUCCUCUGCCGUAAUUCGCAUCUUCCAGACCUUCCUAUCUAGGGUCAUGUCCUCGGUGAGCUGUAACUGUUCCAUGUCCCGCCUAAUCACCUCACCCUAGUACUUCUUCGGUCUACCCCUUCCCCGUCUAAAACCAUCCAACGCUAGCCUCUCACACCUACGGACCGGGGCAUCCAUGCCCCUCCUCUUCACGUGUCCGAACCAUCUCAAUCGUGCUUCCCGCAUCUUACACUCCACUGAAGUCCCACCAACCUUCUUCCGGAUAGUCUCAUUCCGAACUCUAUCCGCUCUUGUCAGUCCACACAUCCAGCGCAACAUCCGCAUUUCUGCCACCUUCAUUUUUUGGAUGUGGGAGUUCUUAACUGGCCAACACUCCGCUCCAUACAGCAAGGCCGGACGGACUACCACCCUAUAGAAUUUGCCUUUAAG
RNAcentral lists this long non-coding RNA (40945 nucleotides) under Capsicum annuum. RNAcentral describes it as "long non-coding RNA (CANN_LNC000273)". Lineage: Eukaryota; Viridiplantae; Streptophyta; Magnoliopsida; Solanales; Solanaceae. The record is from RNAcentral.